UUACGGCCACAUCAUGUUGAAAAACCAGUUCCCGUACGGUCUCCGAAGUUAAGCAACGCCCAACCUAAUCAGUACUUAGAUGGGUGACCGUUUGUAACCUCG
Molecule: non-coding RNA, 102 nt
Organism: Acanthosepion pharaonis
Lineage: Eukaryota; Metazoa; Mollusca; Cephalopoda; Sepiida; Sepiidae
Source: the annotation of a GenBank genome assembly